This 254-nucleotide ribosomal RNA is filed under the name uncultured bacterium. RNAcentral describes it as "partial 16S ribosomal RNA". It matches the Rfam family "Bacterial small subunit ribosomal RNA", at positions 524 to 776 of the family's 1533-position model. The record is from RNAcentral.
UACGUAGGGCGCAAGCGUUGUCCGGAAUUAUUGGGCGUAAAGAGCUCGUAGGCGGUUUGUCGCGUCUGCUGUGAAAACCUAAGGCUCAACCUUGGGCUUGCAGUGGGUACGGGCAGACUAGAGUGCGGUGAGGGGUGACUGGAAUUCCUGGUGUAGCGGUGGAAUGCGCAGAUAUCAGGAAGAACACCCGUGGCGAAGGCGGCUCUCUGGGACGGUACUGACGCUGAGACGCGAAAGCGUGGGGAGCGAACAGG